This 2017-nucleotide long non-coding RNA is filed under the name Sparus aurata (gilthead seabream). RNAcentral describes it as "lncRNA (ENSSAUG00010007034.1)". The record is from RNAcentral. Lineage: Eukaryota; Metazoa; Chordata; Actinopteri; Spariformes; Sparidae.
UAAAAGUUGAGUAGGAAUUAAACCACAUGCCUAACAAAAUUAAGUGAGAAGAUCACCUGCCCUGUUUGGGCACUGAAUGCUUAUCCUUCCCAAUAAAAAUAUUUCGGAAAACUUUUGAAAGAAUUUAUUACCUUAAUUGGUUACAUCCAUGUUUGCUGUCAGUCUUCUUCUGCUUUGCUACGUUAUGACUUUUUUUGUCACUCGAAAAAACAUUAACAGCGCUGUACAUUAUGUCAAUACACACACACACACACACACAAACACACACACACACACACACAAACAGUUUUCUUACCAUGCACAGAGUAUGCAGCUGCUUAGCUCGCACCUCUCGUGACAUUUUAUAUGAAAUUGACACAAGAAUUGCACACACAUAUAUUACGGAUGUUGGCCGUGUAAUGAAGCAACCUCCUCCACAUGACACACACACUCAUACACACACACACACACACACACACCUGCCAGACUAGUGGAUGCCAGCAUGUUUUAACCCUGGGGCUCUGCUGGCGAGUAGACAGAACAGAAGGAGAGGGAGAGAGAGUGAUGGAGCAAAGCAAGCGAACGGGAGAGGGAAGCCAAUUCAGGUAGAGUGAGGAAAAGAACAAGAGGGCAAGAAACACAUGGCAAACCGAAAGAGAUGAUCGUGCAAGGUCCUCAUCCAGGAUACCAGCUGCGACCCCUGCAGCCCUACCUCCUCUCCUCUUUGCCAGGCUUUGGCUCUGUUUUUCUAAUGAGAGAUGGAAGGGCAGGAAGCGAUGAGGCAUGGCUGAAAAGGGAGAGGAGGCAAAUAAAUCAGAGAUCACAUUUCAAUUUGGGGACACUGGAUGCUUCUGUGACAAUAUCUGAACACUGGAUGGACCAAGCAGUACUGCAGUUGGAAUACCUGCUUUUUUUUUAGAUUUUCAAUGGAUUUAUUCAUCCUUUUAGGACUCAUAUAUUUUAAAUGUAUUGUAAAUAUUGUUAUUAAAUAGAAAGAAAAAUCUUCCACUUGGUCUCAGCUGCCCAGAGGGGCGAACUGUGUGUGAUUGACACCAGCUGACUGUCUGCCAGACUGUCAGUGUUGCAUUGUAGAAAGUCUGACUCACUGGAUGAAGACUGUUGGUAUAAGCCUGCCAAUGGGCCACAGUUUCAGUUGGCAUUCCCCUUCUGCUAUCAGUGUGUUACCGUGCUACCUGUCUCUAUGGGGAGAUGACAACAACCUCCAAGCUAUCAACCCUGAAGUUACCCUAACUUCAAGCUGGUCACUAAGGGUAAAAACCCUAGCAAGCAAGAUGCUAUUACCUCUUUUUUUUUUCUUUUAGUCAUGUUGAUGCUAGAGCCGACCUCCUCACAUGCAAAACAAAUGUGUUCAUAAAUAAAUGUAUGUUUACCAAAAAUUUUGUUUUUGCGAGUUUACUGAAGCAGUAACAGCUGGAGGCUGCACUUGCAGGCAGUGGCAUCUAACUUUCUCAAAGAUGUUGGCAUUAACAUGUUUUAGCUUUUGAACAAUAGCUUAAUACCACAGAAUAAUUGUUCACUGACAGUACAAUGUUGCAGAAACUAUAUUUGACCUUCAAAACCAAGAAACUACGCAGCCCUAAGGACAAUCCACUCCUACUUCUCAAAAAUAAGCUAAGACUGGACCAGACCAGACAGACAUCUUUAACUGAAGAAAGGGGUCUGAAGCUAGUUUUUGAUUCUGAGCUGCCACUUUCAUAAACUAGUUUGAUGAAAUUUGGGAACUGACAGAUGAGAGGAAGGUACAAAAAUUAGACUAAUACUGGGAGAUAGGGAGGGGAUGACUGACUGUUGGCUAGCCAGAAUGAAAAGACUAAGAGAUGUGCAGCUAAACUAAACAGCCACACAUAUGCCAGGUGCAUUGAAGUGUCCAAAAUGCACACUAUCAAAGUAAGCAAGCAAACUCACCCUGCACCCAAAAUGUUGUAGCUUUAACAACACAGCCAGAGGUGCAGAUGCUGUCCCUACUGGAGCCACCCUCACUGAAAAUAGGCCCCUAUGGAAUUUAUUUGUAUAAAAG